Long non-coding RNA from Erinaceus europaeus (western European hedgehog), 680 nucleotides. RefSeq lists it as uncharacterized. The transcript has 2 exons. Lineage: Eukaryota; Metazoa; Chordata; Mammalia; Eulipotyphla; Erinaceidae. The record is from RefSeq and is a predicted model, not a curated record.
ACACCUUUCAAAGGACUGUGGGACCCCAGGCGGCCAGCUGCUCCCUGGGGAAGAGGCAGAGGGGCCAGACGGGCCUGCAGAGCACCGGAGACAGACAGACGGGGAGCCGGCUGGGCCUCCACAGACACAGAGGGGGGCGGGGAUCAGGAAGGGAAGAUCUCUGCUGGAGAAUCAGCACCUGGGCGGCGAUCUGAUCGGGGCUGACGGUGCACAAGCUGGGCCCUCAGGCUCAGCCAGGCCAAUUCUCUCUCUCUUUUGUUUGCCAAACUGAAGGCUUCUGCCAUCCCUUGCACUUCUGUUCCGGCACAGCAGCAAAUCAGCCGGAGGAGACGGAACAGCAGGAAGAGCAGCUUUGAGGCAACCUCUGCCAACCCCUCCUCCUCUCCCUGCUGCCCAGACCAGCGACUGUCUCACAGAGGAAAGUUCCAGACUCUGUGUGAACAGAAAAACCUGGAGGUCAGGUGGUGGCACACCUGGUUAAGUGCACAUGAUACAGUGUGCAAGGACCCGGGUUCAAGUUCCCGGUCCCCACCUGCAGGUGGAAAACUUCACAAGUGGUGAAGCAGGGCUGGCUGCAGGUGUCUCUCUGUUUCUCUCCUUCUCUAUCACCCUCUUCCUUCCCAAUUUAUCUCUGUCUCUAUCCAAUAAAUAAAUAAAGAUGGUAAAUGAAAGAAAAGAAA